RNAcentral lists this ribosomal RNA (480 nucleotides) under uncultured bacterium. RNAcentral describes it as "partial 16S ribosomal RNA". It matches the Rfam family "Bacterial small subunit ribosomal RNA", at positions 28 to 523 of the family's 1533-position model. The record is from RNAcentral.
GACGAACGCUGGCGGCGUGCCUAACACAUGCAAGUCGAGCGAAUGAAGUUCCUUCGGGAAUGGAUUUAGCGGCGGACGGGUGAGUAACACGUGGGCAACCUGCCUCAUAGAGGGGAAUAGCCUUCCGAAAGGGAGAUUAAUACCGCAUAAGAUUGUAGUACCGCAUGAUAAAGCAAUUAAAGGAGCAAUCCGCUAUGAGAUGGGCCCGAGGCGCAUUAGCUAGUUGGUGAGGUAACGGCGCACCAAGGCGACGAUGCGUAGCCGACCUGAGAGGGUGAUCGGCCACAUUGGGUCUGAGACACGGCCCAGACUGCUACGGGAGGCAGCAGUGGGGAAUAUUGCACAAUGGGUGAAACCCUGAUGCAGCAACGCCGCGUGAGUGAUGACGGCCUUCGGGUUGUAAAGCUCUGUCUUCAGGGACGAUAAUGACGGUACCUGAGGAGGAAGCCACGGCUAACUACGUGCCAGCAGCCGCGGUAA